This is a non-coding RNA of Aegilops tauschii subsp. strangulata, 1413 nucleotides long. Lineage: Eukaryota; Viridiplantae; Streptophyta; Magnoliopsida; Poales; Poaceae. The record is from RefSeq and is a predicted model, not a curated record.
UUGCUUACUUUAUACUCCCUCGGUCCCGUAAUUCUUGUCGUGAGGGCAAUUUUGCAAAAAGCCCCUCUGGUUUCUCCCGACCAAACCCGCGCUCCUCGUCGUCCUCCUCCGAGAGAAGCCCCAGCUGCGCUGCUCCCCGCCACUGCAGCUUCCCUACUCCGCGCCGCUGCAGGCGCCCUGCUCCCCGCCGCCGCAGCUCCCCUGCUCCCCUACUACAGCUGCCUCCUGCUCCACCACCGCAGCUGCCGCUCGCCUGCCUCCACAAGCUCCCCCUUCCUCAUAAAAAUCUUUGAUUUCCCCAUCUACCGCCGCGCUCUGCUCCAGCUGCGUCGGAACCGGCGGCGGCGAGCCCGGAGGCGCUGGAUCCGGACCACCACCAACAAUCUAAAGGCCGACGAGCCCGACGACGACAGGAGAUGCAUCAAGGUAAACGCCGACGAGCUCGACAAUGACAGUAAGAUAAAGGUUGUGGAUUUGCAAGCGUGGAAGACGACGACGACAGCUCCAUGAGGAAUACGACCGCGGCGGCGUCUUCUUCGUUGUUUCUCUGGUAGAAGACCCCGCGCCCGUGACACCACGGCGCGCCUGCUCAUUUGGCAGCAGCGGCGGCGGCUACAAAUUUUCUCCUCUGCUGCAGAUCAUCUCCAAGUCCUACAGCCUGGGUCAUCUCCGUCACCAACGCCUACAGCCUGGGUGUUUGAUGUGAGGAACAAGCCAGCUUUGCUCAAGGCCGACGAUUGGGCGCGUGUGGUGGCAGUUUAAGGAGUGGCGAAAUCUUCUGUUGGAUUGUUGCAUGCUCUGGUCUGAACGUUUGUGCUUUGAAGGAGUGGUAACAUCUUCAGGUGGAAGGAGUGGUAGUUCAAGGACAUCUUCAGCAGUGGUCUGAAUUGAUUCAGGUGAUUCCUGAAUUGCUGCAUUUUCGACUGCACUAAACAUCUAAAUUAGAGACUGAAUGUUCCUGCUGUAUUUUCUCACAACUAAACGUCUGCACUUCUAGAAUUAGCGUGCACUUAUAGAGUUAGUCUGCACUUAAAAAAAUGGCACAAUAUUGCACAGGAGUAAUCUGUCAUGUGACAGUAGUCAUGAUUAAUUAUCUUGAGCUUUUUCCAUAUAAUUUUUGAAUAGCAGCAUCGUUUAAAUUUGUUUUUUUAACUUGUUUGAUGCAUCCAUGGCCGCAUCCAUAGCAGCGAGUACUGCUUAUUGAGAUACUACUGCUGAUAUUGUUUGGCUGGUGAUAUUGCUUACUGCAGCUAGAGUAGAAGGAAUAGGAGUAGCUGCAACUACAGUUGGAGUAUGAGUACCCCAUAUUGUCGUUCACUGUGAGAUCUUGUGUAAAUAAAAAAAAUGCGUAUCCAUAUUUAGGAGCAGUAACUUUGUUAGAAAGAAAGCUAGCUCUAAACAGAGUUAUAUUUU